This 649-nucleotide ribosomal RNA is filed under the name uncultured fungus. Its description in RNAcentral is "eukaryotic LSU rRNA". The stretch from base 249 to 402 matches the Rfam family "5.8S ribosomal RNA". Lineage: Eukaryota; Fungi. The record is from RNAcentral.
AGUAAAAGUCGUAACAAGGUUUCCGUAGGUGAACCUGCGGAAGGAUCAUUAACGAGUUUUUGAAAGGGGUUGUAGCUGGCCGAAAAACAAGGCAUGUGCACACCCUGCUCAAUCCACUCUUAACCCCUGUGCACUUACUGUAGGCUUUGGUGGGGAUGGCUGACUUCGGUUGGCUUGAAAGCCUUGCCUAUGUCUAUUACAAACACUAAAGUAUAAGAAUGUAACAUAGCGUCUAACGCAUUAAAUACAACUUUCAGCAACGGAUCUCUUGGCUCUCGCAUCGAUGAAGAACGCAGCGAAAUGCGAUAAGUAAUGUGAAUUGCAGAAUUCAGUGAAUCAUCGAAUCUUUGAACGCACCUUGCGCUCCUUGGUAUUCCGAGGAGCAUGCCUGUUUGAGUGUCAUGGAAUUAUCCACUUUCAAAACUUUUGUUAUGGAAGCUGGGACUUGGAGGUCGUGUCGGCUUAGGUCGACUCCUCUGAAAUGUAUUAGCGUGAAUCUUACGGAUCGCCUUCAGUGUGAUAAUUGUCUACGCUGUGGUGUGAAGUAUACUAGUGUUCGUGCUUCUAACCGUCCUUCGGGACAAUUACUUGACCAUUUGACCUCAAAUCAGGUAGGACUACCCGCUGAACUAAACCAUAUCAAUAAGCG